Molecule: ribosomal RNA, 643 nt
Filed under: Lactobacillus gasseri
Lineage: Bacteria; Bacillati; Bacillota; Bacilli; Lactobacillales; Lactobacillaceae
Description: bacterial SSU rRNA
Rfam family: Bacterial small subunit ribosomal RNA
Source: RNAcentral
AGUCUGAUGGAGCAACGCCGCGUGAGUGAAGAAGGGUUUCGGCUCGUAAAGCUCUGUUGGUAGUGAAGAAAGAUAGAGGUUGUAACUGGCCUUUAUUUGACGGUAAUUACUUAGAAAGUCACGGCUAACUACGUGCCAGCAGCCGCGGUAAUACGUAGGUGGCAAGCGUUGUCCGGAUUUAUUGGGCGUAAAGCGAGUGCAGGCGGUUCAAUAAGUCUGAUGUGAAAGCCUUCGGCUCAACCGGAGAAUUGCAUCAGAAACUGUUGAACUUGGGUGCAGAAGAGGAGAGUGGAACUCCAUGUGUAGCGGUGGAAUGCGUAGAUAUGUGGAAGAACACCAGUGGCGAAGGCGGCUCUCUGGUCUGCAACUGACGCUGAGGCUCGAAAGCAUGGGUAGCGAACAGGAUUAGACACCCUGGUAGUCCAUGCCGUAAACGAUGAGUGCUAAGUGUUGGGAGGUUUCCGCCUCUCAGUGCUGCAGCUAACGCAUUAAGCACUCCGCCUGGGGAGUACGACCGCAAGGUUGAAACUCAAAGGAAUUGACGGGGGCCCGCACAAGCGGUGGAGCAUGUGGUUUAAUUCGAAGCAACGCGAAGAACCUUACCAGGUCUUGACAUCCAGUGCAAACCUAAGAGAUGAGGAGU